GGGCUUGUAGCUCAGCGGACUAGAGUGUGUGUUUCCGAAACACAAGGUCGAGGGUUCAACUCCCUCCUUGCCCU
Molecule: transfer RNA, 74 nt
Rfam family: tRNA
About the family: Transfer RNA (tRNA) molecules are approximately 80 nucleotides in length. Their secondary structure includes four short double-helical elements and three loops (D, anti-codon, and T loops).